RNAcentral lists this long non-coding RNA (514 nucleotides) under Marmota monax (woodchuck). Lineage: Eukaryota; Metazoa; Chordata; Mammalia; Rodentia; Sciuridae. The record is from RNAcentral.
CUAAAUAAAAAAAAUAAAGACCAAUACUUCAGUAUUCCUGAAUGGCAGAAGUGAUUGAAUACUUUAGAAAAUAAGAGGAGAAAGCUUUUAUUGGAUGGAGAUUGUCAAGACAGACUCCAAAGCAACAGUGGGUAGAAUCAGAAAAAAAAAAAAAAACCUAGAAGCUCACUGUAGGCAUUAGGUACAAAUUUGUCAAAUGAAUGAAUGACUUGACUUGACCUAUUGACAAUGAGAAAACCAGAUUGAUUAGAAGACAGUUCUACAGGAAACUAGUGAGAGAUAAUAUUAUAGUUCAGAUUUUGAUGGGACUUGUUAAAGUUUGAGUUUUGUUUUUUAUAAGGGGUAAAAGAAUUGAGAAAGACUUGGAAAUGAGACUUCAAGCUAUUCACAAGGUUUUAGGUCAGUGGUUUUCCAAAGGUGACUCCAUGUAAAGUUUGAUGACAAGCCUGGCAUAACUAUUGUCUGAUACUUACAUUUCGUUUUUAUUGGUUUUAUUAAAACAGCAUCAUUGAUC